Molecule: long non-coding RNA, 11001 nt
Filed under: Gallus gallus (chicken)
Lineage: Eukaryota; Metazoa; Chordata; Aves; Galliformes; Phasianidae
Source: RNAcentral
CGCGCCUGAAGGAGGGGUUACACCCUCCUCAACCGGGCUCUCACGAGGAGGGCGGAGCAUGCUCGCUGACUGACUGCUGCGGCAGCCAAUGAGCCCUCGAGCUGAGGAUGAAGGGCGGGCUGCGGCGGCACAACGGCCUGUGGCGGCGCGCGGUGGAGGCCUGUGGGGGCGUUCUUGUGUGCGCUGCGGGAUGUGCGCUGUGGUGGUGGAGGGGGUCCUUGUGAGGAGAGCAAGGCCCCGUGAGGGGAGCAGGGCCCGUGUGGAGCUCUUCAUGCCUUCACUGCUGCUCCUGCGGCCUGCCCGCAUUGCUUCCUCUGUGGAAGUGAGGUGGAGUGUCUGUGGUGGUGGAGGCGUACUCAGGGCCUGCAGUUUUCCAAGACAGGUGAUUAAGAAGGCUCUAGUGUUAACAGUAAUACUUGCUCCAGCUGUAAUACCCGUCAUAUCUGUGCUGCCCCGUGUGAUUGUGGUUCUUGGUGGGCUGAAUUGGUACAAGGGGAGCGGGGCAGCCCAUGGAGGUUCUCUGUGUUGUGUGGGCACUCUGAACAGUGUUCAGUCCAUUAAUAAAGUGCUCAUUUGGGGUUUGGCUGCCCUCAUCUUGCUGUGCUUCUAUUAGCACCAAACUUGUCUCUUCUGAGGUAACUCCCAGGUGUUGUGAGAAGCACUGAUAGGAAAAGCUGCCUGCUUGUUCUGUUUUCCCCCCUGAAGCCUUCAGCUACAGCAUGCACGUGAAUAUUGCCUUUUUAAGUAACUUUAAUUUUGUUCUCCCUUUUGGUGUAGGGUAGAGCGUGGAAUGGGAACGAUGUCUGCCAAACUUACAGCUUUUAAGCUUAAAAGAUUUAAACGAAGAUUGGAAAGGAUCUCAAUGCACUGAGUACAAGAGGGGGAAACAAAGAUGGAGGGAGAAUACAGGAGUCACUGCAUCUGCUAACAUAUGUGCACCAGAAAUGCAGCAACAAAGCACAGAUCUUGAAUUCACAAAGCACAAGCUAUGGAUUCACUGUUCCAUUGCAGAUAUUACAGUUCUGCUCAGCUACCACAAGAGGGACGUAGAAGGAAAGCUAAGAUAGCCCGGGAGAAAAAAACAAAUCGAAAGAGCAGCUUCAUGCAGGUUCAGCUGCACUGUGGCUAUAAAAAAGUAUUCCUGAAGCAAACUGGAUAAGUACUUUAAAGCAAUGGAGGAAAAGGAGGAGAAGAUCUUGACAUUUCUUCAGUGAUCUCGGAUGAAGAAGAUACUUAGAUAUUAAGGUGAUGAAUGACAUACAAAGAUAGUAGCAGUAUAUGAAACUAGCUAUAAACUCUGUGCUACAAACCAGUUUUCCUUCCCUGUCUAAGCUAAGUGGAUAGUAAAAAGCUAAUAAAGUAUGAAAAUGUAAUUUGAUGUUGAAGUACUACUUAAAAAUCCUUUAGCUCAGUAGAAAAUUGGUAAUCCUUCCCCCCAAAAUGUAUUAAAAUGCCUUUUACCUCUUGUUCCUUGUAAAUAGCUGAAGUGUGUGGUCAUCCUAAACAAUGCCACGUUAGCACUGAAUCUGACUUCAGUGAACGUAUGUAGGGGAAACAUCUUUUUAAAAACAGAGCUUCUGGGUUUUUUAUUGCAGUUUUUGCCUGCAAAAAUACCAGGUGAAAUGAGCCACUUCUCUUUAACUGGCCACAGAUGUCAGAUUGCUCACAAAAAAGCAUGGUUUUCAAAAUCCAAGGAAAAAAAAAAGCUGGAAAUAGUAGAUGUAUUCCUGAAGAUAUUUGAGAGUUGCUUAUUAAGUUUACCUUUUGUAGGACUUCUGGAAGAAGCAGACUUGUUAAAAAUAUUCUGUUUCUAAAAGGGCAUCAUCUUUCCUUGAAGUGGGAUUUCUUCAAAACAGAUGUUGUUGGAUCUCAGCUUAAAAACAAAUUUUGAAUCUCUUGAUUAACUACAAAGAGUGUACAUGUUUCUUUGUUUUAAUUUCUGGCAGUUAUCCUGGGCAGAUGGAGGAGCAGUGAGGUUAUUUUGGUAUAAUGUAAAACCCAGUACUUCACAACGAGUUUUGAUGUGUUUGAAUUGUGUGGACUGGUGUCUCCCCGUUUUAGUGGAGAAAAUAGAAGAGUGGUGCUUUUUCAGGUUAUCCCCAGUGUCUUGUUUAAGUGUAUAAAUACUUGAGUUUUAGCAGUGUGAUUUCUUAUGUGAUAACAGCUUGCUUUCUUCUCAAAGCAUUACUGCUUUACGGACUUUUUUUUUUUUUUUUUAACUUUUGGGGAAGGUAACUUGCAAGGAGUUAAAUGUGAGGCUCUUUUUUUGUAAAGAGUAUAUUAAGAGAACAAAUAAUUUGAAAAAGUUUGCGGUUUUUUUGUGUCCUAACCUGAUUUUUCCUUCCCUAGUUCUUUAAACGAAUAACUUCGUUGCAUUCUCUAUAUGUAAAGUAAAUCCUUCCAAGCUAAACCUUCUUCCUGCUGUGGGAAAAGUCUGUUAAUUUGGCAUUUGUCUUAAAAAUGAAAUAACGUAAGUAAUCCAAUAAUUAGGUGUGUUGCCCUUUGGGCUUUGUUGUGGGAGGGAGUGUGUCUAAACUUCUCUGAAGGUUAUACGUGUAAGAACACGUGUUUAGCCACAUAAUGUGGCUACAUGAUUUAAUAUGAGUGGUUCAGAUUCCUCUUGGCCUAAACACCUGCAUCCGAAAUGGUCCUUGUCAUGAAAUAACAGCCAUUUAGUUUUCUGCUCUCCAGCUCCCAGGGAUUAACACGUUUUCAUGGACACCUCACUUCUUUUUGAUGUGAAAUACAGACUUUGACAACAGGACCUUAUCUUCCCAUUGCCAAUAUUAAAGCUUCAGGAAACAGCAAGCAUAAAACUUUCACGCAGUUGUAGCAGCUAUAGGUAGGACAAGUAGUACAAACAGCUGCUGCUUGCUUGCUUGCCUGAAAAAGAAAAAAAAAUCUAGAAUUGUGGGAGACCAAAUAGAUUGGGUGUUGCAGUAGUUUUCCCGUGAUGGAAGCCCUUCCAUUAGAAAUCUUGUAUUUCUGAUGUUUUGGGGUGAGUACAGGGCAAAAAGAGGUUGGGUGCAGAACCAGUCUGGUUUCAGGAUGGAGCAGCUUACUUGAAGUGGAAAGAAUGUUUUCCUUGCAGCAUCUUGUGGAUUUGAGGAGGAACCAAGCCAGUACUGAACGCAGGUCAUGAAUGGUUACAGUGUAGCUGUGUAAUGCCUUCCCAGAACUCAUGAGUUCCUUGGAAAUGUACUCAGGCCACUGGUGGCAUUUUGUCAAACAGUACAUGAAAAGAUCAAGAGGCCGUGGGGUCCCAGGUUUUAGCAGUACUCCUGAGAGUGAAUGGUUUCAUUUAUUAUACUAUCUGCUUCCUAAACGCAGUGGGCUUAAGUGGAUUUGCUUCUAUUUGCUUGAAAAAGAGUUUCCAAGUAUCAGAUUGAUGAUAUGGAGUGUUUCCUAUAGCUCCUUUGCGUGCCCAUGCUGGUUUUGCCUUUUUCAGUGCUGUUUCAUAGCCUGCUCCUCAGCUGCUAAGCCAAGGGAGAGGAAAAGCCAUUUUCCCACCCCAGGCUGGUGCUGGUUGCUGGGACUUCCUCACGCUGACUGAUUUAAGACCCACUGGCAUGCCUUGGGAGCAUCCGCACCCUGAUGGCAGCACCUCAGGACCUUCUCUGGACCUAAUCCAACCUGUUCUCUGCUCAGCUUCCAACAAUGCUUCCAAAUGGCUAACCUUUGCUUUUGGCUUUGCUCUGCCUCUUGAGUGAAGGGCAGCCAGUGUGACAAUGAAUGAAUGGAAAGGUUCUGGAAGUGCUAUGAAAAAAGAUGGAAGGAAAAGCAGGAAUCCUUCCUCCCUUCUCCCUCCGGUAUCACGCAGACUAGUGGUUAUCAAGUGGUGCCAUCUGAGAUUCAUGAUGAAGAGGCUAAAAUGGGAGUGGAAUUUGCUUGAAUUCCUGGACCCUGAGCAAGGUUCGUGGCAACCCAUUGAACCCAUCACAGAGUCUGGAAACUGUGAACUGGGUCUGUUUUUACUAAAAAUGACUACCAGACUUAAUUUAUGGUCAAACAGAAGUUUUCAAAUUGUUUUUCAGUUUUGGUCCAGAAAAUCCAUGAGUCCUAUGUCAUAUGGAAGAAACCCAGGGCACAGAAACAUUGUAUACAGUUGUUAGCAAAUGCCAUUAAGAAAAAUUAAAUCCUAUGCCUUUAUUUCAGCUGUAGUAUGAAGAUUGAGCAAAGGUGCUCUGGGAAGCUUGCUGGCAAGUAAGUGGCAUUCCAAUCUCAGACAAGAUACUAACAUAUUAGGCCACUUUCUUGGCUGCAGGUUAUUAUAUGACUUUACUGGAAGAAAUUAUUGCAAAAAGGAUCUGAAAGUCUGCAAAGCACUAAUUCUAAGUAGCACUUUGGUUAUGAUGUCAUUUUAAAAAAAAGUAAUAUUAAACACUGGGCCAUGACCUUCUUUGGAUCAAGAGCAACACAAGGCCACUAGCCAAAAUGCAGAAUUUCUGCAGCAGGAGAAUAAAAUAGGCAUAAUAAAAGUCUUGUGGAAAGUCCAAAGCAUGUAAGGUCAAGGUCAAGUACAAAAAGACCGUAUUAGAAUGACCCUGAGGAGUGGCAGAAUAAAUAAUGCAGUGUUUUCUAUGACUGUGGAGGUUUACAAGGAGAUGGAGUGGAGGAAGCAUUGUUAAUUCUAGUCGCAUAUUCUGUACAUUUAAGAUCAGCCUAUAAGUGUUCAAGAAAGAAGCCAAAUCAUGGGCUAGCUGGAGCACUGGAAGAAUGUGAAUGAUUGCUGUGAUCUCACACUGAUCUUAAACUAUUUGUUCUUUUGGAACUUUAAACAAAUCCAGUUCUAACCUGCAUCCACCUCCUCUCUACUGAGGAAGCAGAAGGGCUGACAUGAAACAAGGGACAUUAUUCUUGAUGGAUAUGAGGAAACAUCAGAAAUACCAUGUAAAAACUGUGUUACUGUAGGUUUUUUUUCUUAAUGGAAUGACCCAUUAUGGAACUACACGUGGUCUGUAUUGAAGGAUCAAACUAAGGUGUGGAGAUUAACCCUUCGCUGUUAUGUUUGUGUGGCUUUAACUCAGUUCAUCUAUGAAUAGCUGGAGGCCUGGUCAGCUUCUUAGGAGGCUCCACAUGCCUCACCCCUCUUUUCCCUCUUUGUAUCACUCAUUCUGUGUUCUGCUAGAGGCCACCACAAACCUCAUCUGAAAAAAACAAAGGGAGGGGGGUACCUGCAGGAAUAAAUGGCAAAAGCUCCUGUUUUAUAGCAAGGUUUAGAAGUGCAACUUGGAUCUUCUUAGAACCGUUUCUCUUCCCGCUGUGUUAGGAGUAACUCCCAGAUGUGACUUGAAGCCAGCAAAUGAUCUCAGGCAGUGAGAUCAGAUUUUGCUGAGUAUACAGGGUUAGACAUGUUCAUUGCUCUCCUUCCAGAAGAUCUCCUAUCCAAACCAUGCAUUGACCUUUGAUUUCCUUGGGAACAUUGGCCUUUGCAGUAGCCUUUACAGCAUUUGUGUAUAGAAACCCACAGUUACAACGUUGUCUCUUGCCUUGCCAGUUGAAAAUUGCUUUUGUGAUGGCUAUUUAUUCACCUGAGGCGUGGGGUUCCUGGAAUUGUGUGCGCUUUCCUGGAAGAAGUGUUGAACAGUGUAAUGGCUUGUGCAGAAAGCAUUCAAAGACUGAAGCAAUGUCAAGGAGAGACAAGGCAGCUGGACUUUAGGGAGAGCUCUCAGAUUCCACUCUCAUGAUAGGUAUUUCUCUGGCCGUCAUUGUCUCAGGAACUGAGUGUCGCUUACACCCAAAGUGUUUUGGCUUGAAUAAAGGUUAAUGAAAGAAACUGAGCGCUGUGCUAGCCAAAAGCAAUUGGCCUUUAUUGAGGGAAGCAUUGAAAAAAUACAGAGGAUCGAACUUCUAGUUUCCAUGUGGAAUUAGAAUUAGCGAAAUCUUGUGACUGUUGCAAUUAGAUGCCAUCUGCGUCCUUGCAGUCUUUGGAUGAAGAAAGUAGUUUAAAUGAAGCAAGGACUUAACUCUGAAUCUUUACCCAGAUCUUGAUACUGAAAAAUAUUGUGAAAAAAGAUUGAUUUUUUUGCUUUUAUGGCUGUUUUUCAGAUUUGGGUGGGGUCAGCAAAGGGAAUUGCCAGAAAUCUCCAGAGCCAGUUCAUUUGAGAGAUUUCUGGUCUGAUAUUUUCUUGAAAACUCAAGAGGUUUGGAUUAUUCUCCAGACUCCAUCUUCCUGGAGAGCUUCCCACUGCUUUUUAAGCCUGUGUACAUGAAUGCCAUUUUUCCAUUUCUCUAGGGGUGAAAAUAAACCAUAGUCUGAAUGAUGCUGAAUUUUCCUCUGAGUUUAUAAAUGAUUACAAAGGAGCACAAACUUCAAAUAAAGCCAGUGAUCUGUAAUGUCUCAAAACUUAUCAAAGGAGAAUGGGCAUGUGGAAAGAGAUCUAUGAUGAGGUGGGCUGAUGCUGUGUAGCAUAGCAGGGAAAGCACAUGUUUACCAGCCAGUUAUCUCCACAAUCAGUGACAAUGAUGAAACAAACAGUUCCAUAAAUGUUCCACAAACCCUUCACUUCAAGGCUAAUAGACUUCUUGAAUUGAUCCUCUUGACUUGCACCUGCUAAUAACUUCUUAGGUAGUCUGGACAAGGUAACACAGGCAUUCCCUUCGGCACUGUGAAAGCUGCAAUUUGGAUCAUGUUCUUAAGUCAUACCUGUGUGCUUUCAGGCCUGUGUGGGGAGAUACUUCUACAUGAGAACAGCUGAGUAUUUAACACUGUUAUCUAACCAAAUGUGGAUGGGGGCUCAGCUGACUGGAUCUGUGCUAUUAUUUGUGUUUGAAAAUUCAUUUUCAUACUGUAUGAGAUCUCUCUUUUGAGGGAGACAAAGUGAUCCUGCUUCUGAGGACGAUACCUGUCCUCCCCCACCCCCGGAGCGUGGGCCUUGUGAACAUCCUUGUCUAUUCAUACAAAUGACAGCUGUAAUUAUCUUUGACAGAAAGCCUGUGGAACACCUCAGGCAAACACUGGAAGUGGGGACAGCAGUGUUCUGCCUUGUGAUGUGAUGGGCUCUGUGUAGAAGGCACUGGGUUUGUCAUCCUCUGCUUAUCCUUGAGGAACUGGCAUUCUUUUGUGGUCAAGAUUUUGGGUGCAAGUAAUGAGGGCAUAAAGGGCAGUUUCCAGGAAGACAAUUCAUUCGUGUUUGUUCAAAGUCUAACAGAAGUAUUUAAGUAGUUGAAGUGAGGUAUAAGUAAAAAAGACUGAGAGACAAUGUUCUGCUUUACCGCCAUCAUAAGAGGAAAAAUGUCACUUUUUUUAUUAUUAUUAAAGCUCUGCUAUAAUGGUAGCCACAUAUUCUUUUUUCAUAUUAAAGAUUCUCAUUUUUCCAUAUGGAUAAAGAGGCUGCUUUAGAGUACAGCCUUGACAAUCUGCUGCUGCUUCUUAUCUCUCUAUUCUUCGUGCCCCUCACGGAUCUCACAUUCACCUUGUGGUUCCUUGACAACUGAAGAAAGCACUUACACCUGGAGGCUUUUCACUGUAAUUCAUAAAGGCUAUUCUUCCACACUGCUCUUGUGUAAGAAAGGGUCAGAUUUCUGCGUGCAAGUAUUAAACUAUUCAUACUAAAACUGAGCUUAAGUGUGUAGCUGCCUCCUGAGGCAAGGAGUGUUACAUUUCAUGAUCAACUUUUUUCUCCCCUUUCUCUGAACCAUCCGGUAUUUUGAAGAAUUGAGUUUGGAGGAAGCAAUGCUCAGGCUUCUGACCUAAUGCUUUCAGCAUCCCUACAGUCAGUGAAGAUGAAAGGCUGAUUCAAUUAAUCCUUUGUGAAUACUAUUUCUUCCUCUGUGUACAAUAUAACUUAAUUUUCACAGCUGAAAAAGUUUAUAUUUCUUGCAAGAGCUGAUUGCAGUUUAUAUUUUUUCAGGGUACCGUAACAGUGGUCUUUUAAUCACCGGUGUCCUGAAAAGACCUGAUUGCUUGGUACUGCUUCUGCUUAUUUCCAGCUGUUAAAUCACACUGCAUAUCAUCCUUCUGGUUUUUGGUGUUAUUUGUUUGUGUGGAGGGAGGUUUGUUCUUGGUUUUUUUUUUUAAAUGUAAACAGCAGAGCUAAUUGCUAUGGAGAGGUUAUAUGAAAAUAAGCAAAUGAGAAGAAAAAAUGGCCCCUGUUACAGGCAGUGAAAGUGGAAGUGUCAAGAGAGCUAUCAUUAAUCUUAAAUCAACACUUAGCAAAAAGCUACAACUUUUUACUGCCUGUAUCCAGAAGGCUUGAACAGGUUUGCUUAAUAUAACUUCUGGCAUGGAAAUGUUUUUGAUGUUCCCUUGAGAUGUCCACAGAAAGGACAGCUUUGUGGUCUGCAGUUAGUAGGUCCAGCGUGUUGGAAAAGGUAACUUACCACUUCAUACUUCUGAGGCAGAAUAAACUGUGAAGUUCAAAUUUUCUCUGUGGAUCUUUGGGAUGAGACCACAGAAAGCACAGUUCUGUCUCCUGUGAACGGAUGCUCACCAUUCCUUGGCUCUCUCUCUGAAAAGCGUGGUUUUCUCUGGAGUCCCAAGCCAAAUGUUUCUCUCUUUUUUUUUUUUUCUGCUGUUCUGCACUCUGUUAUAUAUUUGGCUGUGCUCUCUGUCCCAAAGGUGUCUAUGUUCUGGUGGUAUUAGGUAUGAAUAAGUCGUCAAGUUCUUUGGGAUCUUCCUUGCUGAAAGGCACGAUGGAAACUUGAUCUUUUUUUGAAGCUACAUGGCAAAGGGCUAACGGUGUGUGCCAGCUUGUGGCUAGGAGGCAGUGAUCUGAGGACAGCAAAUUCUCAUCUAUGUAACACUUGUGUAUAUGAUACAGAAAUAGUAUUAUUCAUACACAGUAUGUGCAUUUAUGUGUAGCUACUGAACUAAUCACGUGUAGACAGCUCUAGCGUCAUAUUGAGGUAGAGUUCCAGGGCCCCUCAUGUUAAGUAUUCUGCCUGUGAAGGGGUCGAUGCCAGACAUUAAUAAGUUUUGGUAGGGUAAUCAAAACCAAGUCAUUGCUCCCUAGGACAGGUCCUCGGGCUAUUAAAAAGUGUACGUGCUGUCUGCCCACCUACAUGUGUGAUCUCAGAGCCCUGAGCACUUCCAGUCCCCUCAGUAAUGAGACAAUUCCUGUUUAUACUAUUGCUGAAGACCCCUGGAUUACACAAUAGGAAGAUUUGACCAGGGAGAUGGAUUAUAUAUAUCAUUUAGGGGAAAGAAAAAACCAGCCUGCUUACAAGAGCUUUUGUUUUUAAGGUUUGCCAUCCCUGAGAGUUUUUGGAAGUGACUGAGUGCAUACUGAGCAACGAGUGAAAGCAAUCAGGAAAACUGUGUUAUUGUCAUUAUGACUCUGGGAGGUGUCUUUUAGUAGCAAAAACCAAAAAGGGAGACCACGGCCAAAACAGUUUUACUGCAAGAACUGCAUACUCCAAGCAUUAAUGAUACUCCCAACAAUAAUUUCCAGCAAGACAUGAUGGCUUAACCAUCACAUCAGUUUGCAUCUCCCUUGGUCAAAACAGCCUUCAGUCAUCUUUUUUUUUUUUUUUUCCAGUACAAUUCAGUUAAUUAUUCCCAGUUCCCUCAAUGAGUCUGAGCUCCCACUGGCUCUUGGAGCAAUAGUAGCUCAUUGUUGCAAAUGAGCUUAAUCCAGUGUUAGAAGUCUUUAUUGUCUGUAAUAGAAAAUGGCAUGAAUAGUAAAGGAAAAAAUGUGAGAUGUUUCCUGUAAGGUUUUAACAACCCUCCUGGGUGCAUGAUUACAACAUAUGCUGGGGAAUAGUUUUGAGCAGGGUGGUGGUGAGGAGAAGGAGCUCUGGCAGCAAUUUAUACCCCCAUCUGUAAGCCUCGUUACAGCGAGCUGCUUGAGAAGGGAAAGAUGGGACACAGCUCUUCUCAAUCUGGACAUGCCACUGCUUUUCAGUCCUUUGCCCUUCUGGUUUGUCAGAGUUUGUCUCUGGCAGGCUUAAAUGAGAGGCAUAAUGAAGCCAUAUGAGGGCCAAUAUGAAAUCUGUGGGCUUACAAAAGCACUUUGCUUGGCCUCCUGCCCUCAGUUUUGUAAAGAGAGUUUUAGUUCCAGGUGUUUCAUUCUUUUCAGACAGCGCUAUGAUGACACCACGUCUGACGUAUUUUGGAAGGGGAUUAUCAGUCUGAGACCCAGGAGUGGAGAAUAUCUGAUGGUGCUAUGAUCUGUCUACAGAUGACAAAGUUCUGGACCAUAUUUUCAGUGAAGAACAAUGCUCAGGGUGAUUUUGUAUCCAAGAUCUCGUGUUUCAGCCUUUCUUCACAUAGACCUCAGACUUAUAGAUUUUUCACUAGUCCUGUCGCUGGCCUUGUCUCCUACUGUUUCUGAUGAGUCCUCAGAUGGACCUACCAGUAUCGAAGUAAUGCAGCAGUCUUCCUCAGAAGAAUAUUGUGGCAAUGAAGACUGAAGCAUUUGUCGUGUUGGCUAUUUAAGAACAAAAAUAGUGGAAAACCCUGAGUCAGGUCAUGCUGGUUCUGUCACUGGUGUUGGUUGAGAACUAAGAGUUAAGGAUAAAACAGAGUUGGAAUGUGUUUUCAGCUCAUCUGCCUUUUAUGUGGGAGUUCUCCCUCAGAUGUUGGAAAUCAUCUCUGCAGCUUUUUUUCAUAAACCGUUUUCAGCUGUUUCUAUACCCUAUCUUAAAGUUGUUGAUGUUUUCUCACAUUCUAGAACUCUUAAGAAAUUGUUCAAGAAAACUGAUGUCCCCUUAGAAGUCAGAUUUUCAUACACAGAAAGGAUAAAAGAAAUCAAAUUCCUAAUAGUGUUGCAGGAAUGAGCAGGGAAGUUGACCCUUCUGAGCUCUAAUCUUCAAGGAUGGCCUCACUUUCUGUACUGUAAUGCAGUGACUUCCUCACAGGGGACUUCCCUGUCACAGGGCUCUAAUUGAUUUGAUGCUGCAGUUGUGGCCAGUGUUAUGUCAUUCUGCUUAUAGCCACAGUAGAUUGCAUAACUGUUUUUUAGUUCAUAUAAAUGACUUUACUGGUAUUACUCAAAUUCCAUUAGUAGAGUAGAAAACAAGGAGAAUUAAUGAUAAAGUUAACGUAAUGCACGAUGGAGC